RNAcentral lists this non-coding RNA (60 nucleotides) under Marmota monax (woodchuck). It matches the Rfam family "Ma3 gene ribosomal frameshift signal". Lineage: Eukaryota; Metazoa; Chordata; Mammalia; Rodentia; Sciuridae. The record is from RNAcentral.
GGGAAACGAGGAAGGGGCUGGGGGCAUGAGCCACCCCAGGCCCUAGGAAGCACAGGCUCA